GAUGAACGCUGGCGGCGUGCCUAAUACAUGCAAGUCGAGCGAACAGACGAGGAGCUUGCUCCUCUGACGUUAGCGGCGGACGGGUGAGUAACACGUGGAUAACCUACCUAUAAGACUGGGAUAACUUCGGGAAACCGGAGCUAAUACCGGAUAAUAUAUUGAACCGCAUGGUUCAAUAGUGAAAGACGGUUUUGCUGUCACUUAUAGAUGGAUCCGCGCCGCAUUAGCUAGUUGGUAAGGUAACGGCUUACCAAGGCAACGAUGCGUAGCCGACCUGAGAGGGUGAACCGCCACACUGGAACUGAGACACGGUCCAGACUCCUACGGGAGGCAGCAGUAGGGAAUCUUCCGCAAUGGGCGAAAGCUUGACGGAGCAACGCCGCGUGAGUGAUGAAGGGCUUCGGAUCGUAAAACUCUGUUAUUAGGGAAGAACAAAUGUGUAAGUAACUAUGCACGUCUUGACGGUACCUAAUCAGAAAGCCACGGCUAACUACGUG
Molecule: ribosomal RNA, 497 nt
Filed under: uncultured bacterium
Lineage: Bacteria
Description: partial 16S ribosomal RNA
Rfam family: Bacterial small subunit ribosomal RNA
Source: RNAcentral